GAUGAACGCUGGCGGCGUGCCUAAUACAUGCAAGUCGAGCGAACAGAUGAGAAGCUUGCUUCUCUGAUGUUAGCGGCGGACGGGUGAGUAACACGUGGGUAACCUACCUAUAAGACUGGGAUAACUCCGGGAAACCGGGGCUAAUACCGGAUAAUAUUUUGAACCGCAUGGUUCAAUAGUGAAAGACGGUUUCGGCUGUCACUUAUCGAUGGACCCGCGCCGUAUUAGCUAGUUGGUAAGGUAACGGCUUACCAAGGCGACGAUACGUAGCCGACCUGAGAGGGUGAUCGGCCACACUGGAACUGAGACACGGUCCAGACUCCUACGGGAGGCAGCGGUAGGGAAUCUUCCGCAAUGGGCGAAAGCCUGACGGAGCAACGCCGCGUGAGUGAUGAAGGUCUUCGGAUCGUAAAACUCUGUUGUUAGGGAAGAACAAAUUUGUUAGUAACUGAACAAGUCUUGACGGUACCUAACCAGAAAGCCACGGCUAACUACGUGCCAGCCGCCGCUGUAA
This 514-nucleotide ribosomal RNA is filed under the name uncultured bacterium. Its description in RNAcentral is "partial 16S ribosomal RNA". It matches the Rfam family "Bacterial small subunit ribosomal RNA", at positions 28 to 523 of the family's 1533-position model. The record is from RNAcentral.